CGGUAGGUAGGACUGGGAGGGUAGCCGUCUCCCUUACCUGAAACCGGCUACACGCAGGGGUCAGUAACAGGCGGGUAAACCACGGGAGCUGGAAUUCCUGCCAUCCAAGCUGGUAUGAACCCACGCCGCGAUGGGCGGUCGCAAGGAGCAAUCCUUCCGAAGGGAAGGGUUUGACUCUCAAUCGUCGAACCGGGCCAGGUCCGGGAGGGAGCAGCCCUAAGAUGAGGUGGCUGUGCUGUCGCGUCUACGUGGAGGACCUCGCACGGGUGGAGAUUGGGCCCAGCCCUAUGGGAACUCCGGCUGAGCUACCG
Molecule: signal recognition particle RNA, 311 nt
Filed under: Nitrososphaerota archaeon
Lineage: Archaea; Thermoproteati; Nitrososphaerota
Description: Thaumarchaeota archaeon signal recognition particle sRNA
Rfam family: Archaeal signal recognition particle RNA
Source: RNAcentral